UACGAAGGGGGCUAGCGUUGCUCGGAAUUACUGGGCGUAAAGGGCGCGUAGGCGGAUGAUUAAGUCGAGGGUGAAAGCCCGGGGCUCAACCUCGGAACUGCCUUUGAUACUGGUCAUCUUGAGUACGGGAGAGGUGUGUGGAACUCCGAGUGUAGAGGUGAAAUUCGUAGAUAUUCGGAAGUACACCAGUGGCGAAGGCGACACACUGGCCCGUUACUGACGCUGAGGCGCGAAAGCGUGGGGAG
Molecule: ribosomal RNA, 245 nt
Filed under: uncultured Phenylobacterium sp.
Lineage: Bacteria; Pseudomonadati; Pseudomonadota; Alphaproteobacteria; Caulobacterales; Caulobacteraceae
Description: partial 16S ribosomal RNA
Rfam family: Bacterial small subunit ribosomal RNA
Source: RNAcentral